CCUACGGGGUGCAGCAGUGGGGAAUAUUGCGCAAUGGGCGAAAGCCUGACGCAGCGCCGCCGCGUGAGGGAUGAAGGUCUUCGGAUCGUAAACCUCUGUCAGCAGGGAAGAACGGUCACUGUGCUAAUCAGCAGUGAAUUGACGGUACCUGAAAAGGAAGUAGCGGCUAACUCAGUGCCAGAAGCCGCGGUAAUACGGAGGAUUCAAGCGUUAUCCGGAUUUAUUGGGUUUAAAGGGUGCGUAGGCGGUUCGAUAAGUUAGAGGUGAAAUCCCGGGGCUCAACUCCGGCACUGCCUAGGAUACUGUCGGUCUAGAGUUUAGUUGCGGUAGGCGGAAUGUAUGGUGUAGCGGUGAAAUGCAUAGAGAUCAUACAGAACACCGAUUGCGAAGGCAGCUUACCAAACUACGACUGACGUUGAGGCACGAAAGCGUGGGGAGCAAACAGGAUUAGAUACCCGAGUAGUC
Molecule: ribosomal RNA, 465 nt
Filed under: uncultured bacterium
Lineage: Bacteria
Description: partial 16S ribosomal RNA
Rfam family: Bacterial small subunit ribosomal RNA
Source: RNAcentral